Molecule: ribosomal RNA, 274 nt
Filed under: uncultured bacterium
Lineage: Bacteria
Description: partial 16S ribosomal RNA
Rfam family: Bacterial small subunit ribosomal RNA
Source: RNAcentral
AUACGGAGGGAGCGAGCGUUAAUCGGAAUUACUGGGCGUAAAGCGCGCGUAGGCGGCUUUGUAAGUCGGAUGUGAAAGCCCUGGGCUCAACCUGGGAAUGGCAUUCGAUACUGCAGAGCUAGAGUAUGGUAGAGGGAAGUGGAAUUUCCGGUGUAGCGGUGAAAUGCGUAGAUAUCGGAAGGAACACCAGUGGCGAAGGCGACUUCUUGGGCCAAUACUGACGCUGAGGUGCGAAAGCGUGGGGAGCAAACAGGAUUAGAAACCCCGGUAGUCC